Molecule: non-coding RNA, 161 nt
Filed under: human gut metagenome
Source: RNAcentral
CACGGGAAAGUGAUUAAAAGGGAAUCAGGUGUAAGUCCUGAACAGUCCCGCUGCUGUAAGUUCCAUUACGCGUGUUGCAGGCAAAUACUCAAUGCCACUGAACAAUCGGGUUCGGGAAGGAGUCUGCCAACCGGAACAAGUCAGAAGACCUGCCAUACUUU